CUGGCUCAGGAUGAACGCUGGCGGCGUGCUUCAUACAUGCAAGUCGAACGAGAAUUGGUAGCUGCUACCAAGGAAAGUAGGCGGACGGGUGAGUAAUACAUAGGGAAGUCUGCCCUUAGCCGGGGGACGAACAGUUGGAAACGACUGCUAAUACCGCAUAUGAGUAUAGUUGAGAUAUUAUACUUGAAAACUCCGGUGGCUAAGGAUGAGCCUGUGCCUGAUUAGUUAGUUGGCGGGUAAAGGCCCACCAAGGCGACGAUCAGUAGCUGGUUUGAGAGGAUGAUCAGCCACAAUGGGACUGAGACACGGCCCAUACUCCUACGGGAGGCAGCAGUAGGGAAUUUUGCGCAAUGGGCGAAAGCCUGACGCAGACCAACGCCGCGUGUGUGAUGAACGCCCCUAGGGGUGUAAAACACUGUCAGUGGGGACGAAAGAUGACGGUACCCACAGAGGAAGCACCGGCUAACUCCGUGCCAGCAGCUGC
This 484-nucleotide ribosomal RNA is filed under the name uncultured bacterium. RNAcentral describes it as "bacterial SSU rRNA". It matches the Rfam family "Bacterial small subunit ribosomal RNA", at positions 19 to 518 of the family's 1533-position model. The record is from RNAcentral.